Molecule: ribosomal RNA, 1995 nt
Filed under: Cymatoderma caperatum
Lineage: Eukaryota; Fungi; Basidiomycota; Agaricomycetes; Polyporales; Panaceae
Description: eukaryotic LSU rRNA
Rfam family: Eukaryotic large subunit ribosomal RNA (bases 586-1995)
Source: RNAcentral
UAUUAAUGAAUUAAAUAGAGCGGGGUUGUAGCUGGUCUCUCUUCUCGAGGAGACUUGUGCCCGCCUUUGCUCAUUCUCCAAAUUCUUAUACCUCUGUGCNCCUUACAUUGGAUUCAUGGCGCCUGUUGGCCACAUUGUUUCUGUGGCUUUUUAACCAACAUUCGUUAUGAAUGUCAUAACGCCUUAAGCAUUUANUAAUAUUCCACUUUGAGCCACGGAUCUCUUGGGCUCUCGCAUCGAUGAAGAACGCCGCCAAAUGCGAUUAGUAAUGUGAAUUGCAGAAUUCAGUGAAUCAUCGAAUCUUUGAACGCACCUUGCGCUCCUUGGUAUUCCGAGGAGCAUGCCUGUUUGAGUGUCAUGGUAUUCUCAACUCUUCAGAUUUUUCUCUGAUUAUGUUGGAACUUGGAAGGCUUUUUUGCUGGCAUUUUUUUUUUUUCAAAAAAACAUUAUUGCGGGCUCCUCUGAAAAAAAUUAGUCAGGAUUGCUGCAUUGGCCUCAGUGUGAUAAUUGUCUACGCUGUUGCUGUUCAGUUAAAAAAAUCUUGCUUCCUAAUCUGUCCCUUGGGACAAAUCUAUUUGNACAAUCUGACCUCAAAUCAGGUAGGUGAACUUAAGCAUAUCAAUAAGCGGAGGAAAAGAAACUAACAAGGAUUCCCCUAGUAACUGCGAGUGAAGCGGGAAAAGCUCAAAUUUAAAAUCUAGUAGUCUUUGGCUGCUCGAGUUGUAGUCUGGAGAAGUGUUUUCCGCGCUGGACCAUGUACAAGUCUCUUGGAAUAGAGCGUCAUAGAGGGUGAGAAUCCCGUCUUUGACAUGGACUACCAGUGCUUUGUGAUGCGCUCUCAAAGAGUCGAGUUGUUUGGGAAUGCAGCUCAAAAUGGGUGGUGAAUUCCAUCUAAAGCUAAAUAUUGGCGAGAGACCGAUAGCGAACAAGUACCGUGAGGGAAAGAUGAAAAGCACUUUGGAAAGAGAGUUAAACAGUACGUGAAAUUGCUGAAAGGGAAACGCUUGAAGUCAGUCGCGUCAUUCAGAACUCAGCCUGGCUUUUGCUUGGUGUACUUUCUGCUUGACGGGCCAGCAUCAAUUUUGGCUGCUGGAAAAAGAUCAUGGGAAUGUGGCACCUUCGGGUGUGUUAUAGCCUGUGGUCACAUACAGCAGCUGGGAUUGAGGACUGCAGCACGCCUUCAUGGUUGGGGUUCGCCCACAUUCGUGCUUAGGAUGCUGGCGUAAUGGCUUUAAACGACCCGUCUUGAAACACGGACCAAGGAGUCUAACAUGCCUGCGAGUAUUUGGGUGGCAAACCCAAGUGCGCAAUGAAAGUGAAAGUUGGGAUCUCUGUCGUGGAGAGCACCGACGCCCGGACCAGACCUUUUGCGACGGAUCCGCGGUUGAGCAUGUAUGUUGGGACCCGAAAGAUGGUGAACUAUGCCUGAAUAGGGUGAAGCCAGAGGAAACUCUGGUGGAGGCUCGUAGCGAUUCUGACGUGCAAAUCGAUCGUCAAAUUUGGGUAUAGGGGCGAAAGACUAAUCGAACCAUCUAGUAGCUGGUUCCUGCCGAAGUAUCCCUCAGGAUAGCAGAAACUCAUGUCAGAUUUAUGUGGUAAAGCGAAUGAUUAGAGGCCUUGGGGUUGAAACAACCUUAACCUAUUCUCAAACUUUAAAUAUGUAAGAACGAGCCGUCUCUUAAUUGGACCGCUCGGCGAAUGAGAGUUUCUAGUGGGCCAUUUUUGGUAAGCAGAACUGGCGAUGCGGGAUGAACCGAACGCGAGGUUAAGGUGCCGGAAUGCACGCUCAUCAGACACCACAAAAUGUGUUAGUUCAUCUAGACAGCAGGACGGUGGCCAUGGAAGUCGGAGUCGCUAGGAGUGUGUAACACUCACCUGCCGAAUGAACUAGCCCUGAAAAUGGAUGGCGCUCAGCGUGCUACCCAUACCUCGCCGUCAGUGUUUAAUGAUGCACUGACAGUAGGCAGGCGUGAGGUUGUGAGAGCUAGCGUAUCU